This 834-nucleotide long non-coding RNA is filed under the name Triticum aestivum (bread wheat). Its description in RNAcentral is "long non-coding RNA (TAES_LNC003981)". Lineage: Eukaryota; Viridiplantae; Streptophyta; Magnoliopsida; Poales; Poaceae. The record is from RNAcentral.
AGAGGAUCUGUGGAAAACCAUAAAGAUAAACAAGCUAACAUUUGACGGCGUGAAGUUAUGCGACCGUUGCAAGGUAAAAUUCCCAGAUCUGGUGCUGCGGUUGAGUAUGCUUGCUACUAUCCUAUCUUGAAACUUAAUUUCUGCAGUCAUUUUCUGAAAAGAAACAUGAUACUAACAGAUAGCAAAUUGCUUGCUUCUUUUCUUUCCAUCCUUUCCAUAGCUACAUAAGCAACAGGCUAAAGUCUUGGGGUGUGAAAAAUCCUCCUUUGCUGCAUAUUUAACAUACUUACAGUUACUUGAGUGCAAGUGAGUAACUGAUAUAUCAGUUGGGUUAGUGCUGGCCUCCUGAGGUAAAUCUUCAUGACAUUGAGGACUAACACAGGGCAUGCAAGUAACAACGGGUGAAUAAUGGGGACAGUUCUUAUAAAGCUGAUACUUAUGAACUUGUUCAUUAGUUUCAUAUAAACUUUACACCAUCAUAAUUCAGUAGUGUGAUGUGCAAACUAAACAUUCACAAGGCAGUAUAAAUAGGAGUAUAUACUCAAAAUUCAUUUCCAUUAUAAUCUUACUCAUACAAUAUUCACACCAUGUAAUUCUGGAAAUAUAUGCUCAUAUCUAGUUCUGCAUAAAAAAUGACAGUAUUGACAUGUUAUAAAUAGUUUGUUUGUCUUUCUGUUUACUUUGUUACAUUUUGCAGGGAUAAAGUGAAGAAAAAGAAGAAAAGAUUACUAGAAGAUUAGUUUUAGGAUUUUCCUUUAUUUCCUUGCAAUUUUCCUUUUAUUGGAAACUUGUAAAGACAUUGUAAUAUUCUUACUAUAAUAAAAAUUAUGAUUC